This is a long non-coding RNA of Oncorhynchus keta (chum salmon), 336 nucleotides long. RefSeq lists it as uncharacterized. Lineage: Eukaryota; Metazoa; Chordata; Actinopteri; Salmoniformes; Salmonidae. The transcript is spliced from 5 exons. The record is from RefSeq and is a predicted model, not a curated record.
AAUGCCAGGGUAGUGGGUAGAGAAUAUAUGUUGUAAUGCCAGGGUAGAGAAUAGAGGUUGUAAUGCCAGGGUAAUGGAUAGAGGAUAGAGGUUGUAAUGCCAGGGUAGUGGGUAGAGAAUAGAGGUUGUAAUGCCAGGGUAGUGGGUAGAGAAUAGAGGUUGUAAUGCCAGGGUAAUGGAUAGAGAAUAUUGGCUGUAAUGCCAGGGUAAUGGAUAGAGGAUAGAGGUUGUAAUGCCAGGGUAGUGGGUAGAGAAUAGAGGUUGUAAUGCCAGGGUAGUGGGUAGAGAAUAGAGGUUGUAAUGCCAGGGUAAUGGAUAGAGAAUAGAGGUUGUAAU